Molecule: ribosomal RNA, 450 nt
Filed under: uncultured bacterium
Lineage: Bacteria
Description: partial 16S ribosomal RNA
Rfam family: Bacterial small subunit ribosomal RNA
Source: RNAcentral
GUGGGGAAUAUUGGACAAUGGGCGAAAGCCUGAUCCAGCCAUGCCGCGUGUGUGAAGAAGGUCUUCGGAUUGUAAAGCACUUUAAGUUGGGAGGAAGGGCAGUAAGUUAAUACCUUGCUGUUUUGACGUUACCGACAGAAUAAGCACCGGCUAACUUCGUGCCAGCAGCCGCGGUAAUACGAAGGGUGCAAGCGUUAAUCGGAAUUACUGGGCGUAAAGCGCGCGUAGGUGGUUUUGUAAGUUGGAGGUGAAAUCCCCGGGCUCAAACUGGGAACUGCCUCCAAAACUGCAUGACUAGAGUACGGUAGAGGGUAGUGGAAUUUCCUGUGUAGCGGUGAAAUGCGUAGAUAUAGGAAGGAACACCAGUGGCGAAGGCGACUACCUGGACUGAUACUGACACUGAGGUGCGAAAGCGUGGGGAGCAAACAGGAUUAGAAACCCGGGUAGUCC